This 450-nucleotide ribosomal RNA is filed under the name uncultured bacterium. Its description in RNAcentral is "partial 16S ribosomal RNA". It matches the Rfam family "Bacterial small subunit ribosomal RNA", at positions 354 to 796 of the family's 1533-position model. The record is from RNAcentral.
GUGGGGAAUCUUCCGCAAUGGACGAAAGUCUGACGGAGCAACGCCGCGUGAGUGAAGAAGGUUUUCGGAUCGUAAAGCUCUUUCGUUAGGGACGAACGUGCUCUUUGUGAAUAAUGAGGAGUAAUGACGGUACCUAAAUAAGAAGCCACGGCUAACUACGAGCCAGCAGCCGCGGUAAUACGUAGGUGGCAAGCGUUGUCCGGAAUUAUUGGGCGUAAAGCGCGCGCAGGCGGGAUAUCAAGUCUGUCUUAAAAGUGCGAGGCUCAACCUCGUGAGGGGACAGAAACUGGUAUUCUUGAGUGUCGGAGAGGAAAGUGGAAUUCCAAGUGUAGCGGUGAAAUGCGUAGAGAUUUGGAAGAACACCAGUGGCGAAGGCGACUUUCUGGACGAUGUCUGACGCUGAGGCGCGAAAGCUAGGGGAGCGAACGGGAUUAGAUACCCUAGUAGUCC